GAUGAACGCUGGCGGCGUGCCUAAUACAUGCAAGUCGAGCGAACGGACGAGAAGCUUGCUUCUCUGAUGUUAGCGGCGGACGGGUGAGUAACACGUGGAUAACCUACCUAUAAGACUGGGAUAACUUCGUGAAACCGGAGCUAAUACCGGAUAAUAUUUUGAACCGCAUGGUUCAAAAGUAAAAGACGGUCUUGCUGUCACUUAUAUAUGGAUCCGCGCUGCAUUAGCUAGUUGGUAAGGUAACGGCUUACCAAGGCAACGAUGCAUAGCCGACCUGAGAGGGUGAUCGGCCACACUGGAACUGAGACACGGUCCAGACUCCUACGGGAGGCAGCAGUAGGGAAUCUUCCGCAAUGGGCGAAAGCCUGACGGAGCAACGCCGCGUGAGUGAUGAAGGUCUGCGGAUCGUAAAACUCUGUUAUUAGGGAAGAACAUAUGUGUAAGUAACUGUGCACAUCUUGACGGUACCUAAUCAGAAAGCCACGGCUAACUACGU
RNAcentral lists this ribosomal RNA (496 nucleotides) under uncultured bacterium. RNAcentral describes it as "partial 16S ribosomal RNA". It matches the Rfam family "Bacterial small subunit ribosomal RNA", at positions 28 to 506 of the family's 1533-position model. The record is from RNAcentral.